RNAcentral lists this long non-coding RNA (1314 nucleotides) under Monodelphis domestica (gray short-tailed opossum). RNAcentral's name for it is "lncRNA (ENSMODG00000048919.1)". Lineage: Eukaryota; Metazoa; Chordata; Mammalia; Didelphimorphia; Didelphidae. The record is from RNAcentral.
AGCUGGCCAAGGUGGGGUUCACUUAAUGAGGAAAAGAUAAUUGUUUCUAUGGUCUGUUUUAAGCAAAGCAGGUCGAGAAAUUGAAGAAGACGAAAGAGAAGUCUUCAGCCAAAGGCUCGAGGAAUGCACCCGAGGAAAUACCAGGUCAGAAGGGUCCAUAGACCAAAAGGGUAAGAACAAGAGAGAGGUGAGGGCCAGGAGAGCUGGUCAGAGGCGUGAAUGGUUGGCUGAACGCUUUGAAUGGGAAACUCAAGUUGGAGUGUGAGAGCCUCAGCGUUCAGUUGAGGGUCUGAGUAACUGCUUUAAAUUGACUAAAAUAGAGAAAGUUUCUUCAUGAAUUGAGAUGCCAUGGCUUAAGGUUUAAAUGGUUACAAAGUUUUGAAAAAAAAAGCUUCUCAUAGAAGUUUAAGAACUUAACUUCUGGAUUUCUUCACAAUUUUUUUUUCUGUCGCCUUUGCUUAUAUUGUAUGUCUAAUGGUUUCUUAGGCGGAGACUUCGCUAAUAACUUCAAAUGCUGGUGAUUUAAGCGUUAGCCAAUAAUGUCUGAAAGGUGUGUUAACAAUGAAUUCCUCCCAAAGUUGAAGAGGCGAGACUGGAGCUGGCGAUCCAGCAGGAGGCAAAAGGAGGUCCAGAAAUUCUUAACUUUAAGGAGCCAAAAGCCUGGACCAGAUUUUCCUGCAGCCCAGAAUCCGAAGGAGCCCCAAGAUCCUGGAUCCGGAUAAGUGUUGUUUCUCAUCAUUUUCAUUGACUAGAAAUGUUUCUGUAGCAGACAUAAAACUGGCCAUUUUGUUUCCCUUGAGAAUUGUAUUUCCCCUGAGCAAAGUAGAGAACCUAGAAAGGACAGAGCUAUAUUUUACCAGGUUAAGAGGUUUGAAAGUAACAUCUGUUCAUUGGAGAAUUUGCAGCAGAGAUGCCAGAGUGCUAGUUUGUCUCAAAGUAGUAUCAGAAGAAGUUAGGAGGAAUGACGGAGCCCAGAAAUGAUUGUUAGUAAUAGAAGAUAAAUUUAUUUUCAAUCUGGAGCCUGGUUAGAGAAUUGCCAUCUCAUAGUGAAUUGUAUGGGAAGGUAAUUGGGAAAAAGAAAAGCUAUGGAGGAAAUUGGUUAUUGAUACAGUCACAAGGGAGAAUGGAAAGGCAGAUAAACAUUUUUAGCCAUUAUGAAUGAGUAAGCAAAUUCAAAGAGGUCCCUUUUCUUAAAAGAAGAGUUUAGGUCAUAAGGAAAACCUGGCAAAAUAUCAGUGCCAAAAGGGGGGAGGCCCAGCACAUAAAUAGUAGAUUCUAAACAGCAGUUUUAAUAAACAAGGUUCUGAUAGAACA